RNAcentral lists this ribosomal RNA (995 nucleotides) under uncultured bacterium. RNAcentral's name for it is "bacterial SSU rRNA". It matches the Rfam family "Bacterial small subunit ribosomal RNA", at positions 355 to 1375 of the family's 1533-position model. The record is from RNAcentral.
UGGGGAAUAUUGCACAAUGGGGGAAACCCUGAUGCAGCGACGCCGCGUGGAGGAAGAAGGUCUUCGGAUUGUAAACUCCUGUUGUUGAGGAAGAUAAUGACGGUACUCAACAAGGAAGUGACGGCUAACUACGUGCCAGCAGCCGCGGUAAAACGUAGGUCACAAGCGUUGUCCGGAAUUACUGGGUGUAAAGGGAGCGCAGGCGGGAAGACAAGUUGGAAGUGAAAUCCAUGGGCUCAACCCAUGAACUGCUUUCAAAACUGUUUUUCUUGAGUAGUGCAGAGGUAGGCGGAAUUCCCGGUGUAGCGGUGGAAUGCGUAGAUAUCGGGAGGAACACCAGUGGCGAAGGCGGCCUACUGGGCACCAACUGACGCUGAGGCUCGAAAGUGUGGGUAGCAAACAGGAUUAGAUACCCUGGUAGUCCACACCGUAAACGAUGAUUACUAGGUGUUGGAGGAUUGACCCCUUCAGUGCCGCAGUUAACACAAUAAGUAAUCCACCUGGGGAGUACGACCGCAAGGUUGAAACUCAAAGGAAUUGACGGGGGCCCGCACAAGCAGUGGAGUAUGUGGUUUAAUUCGACGCAACGCGAAGAACCUUACCAAGUCUUGACAUCCUGCGACGGUACUGGAAACAGUAUUUUCCUUCGGGACGCAGAGACAGGUGGUGCAUGGUUGUCGUCAGCUCGUGUCGUGAGAUGUUGGGUUAAGUCCCGCAACGAGCGCAACCCUUAUGGUCAGUUACUACGCAAGAGGACUCUGGCCAGACUGCCGUUGACAAAACGGAGGAAGGUGGGGAUGACGUCAAAUCAUCAUGCCCUUUAUGACUUGGGCUACACACGUACUACAAUGGCGUUAAACAAAGAGAAGCAAGACCGCGAGGUGGAGCAAAACUCAGAAACAACGUCCCAGUUCGGACUGCAGGCUGCAACUCGCCUGCACGAAGUCGGAAUUGCUAGUAAUCGUGGAUCAGCAUGCCACGGUGAAUACGUUCCC